This 301-nucleotide ribosomal RNA is filed under the name uncultured bacterium. RNAcentral describes it as "partial 16S ribosomal RNA". It matches the Rfam family "Bacterial small subunit ribosomal RNA", at positions 509 to 809 of the family's 1533-position model. The record is from RNAcentral.
CAGCAGCCGCGGGAAAACGUAGGUGGCAAGCGUUGUCCGGAAUUAUUGGGCGUAAAGCGCGCGCAGGCGGAUCAGUCAGUCUGUCUUAAAAGUUCGGGGCUUAACCCCGUGAUGGGAUGGAAACUGCUGAUCUAGAGUAUCGGAGAGGAAAGUGGAAUUCCUAGUGUAGCGGUGAAGUGCGUAGAUAUUAGGAAGAACACCAGUGGCGAAGGCGACUUUCUGGACGAAAACUGACGCUGAGGCGCGAAAGCCAGGGUAGCGAACGGGAUUAGAUACCCGGGUAGUCCCUGUCUCUUAUACA